AACGAACGCUUGCUGCAUGCUUUAUACAUGCAAGUCGAACGAAGGCCCUAGCUUGCUAGGUGUCCUUAGUGGCGCACGGGUGAGUAACACGUGGGAACAUACCUCAUAGUACGGAAUAACUGCGGGAAACUGUAGCUAAUACCGUAUAUUCCAGAAAUGGGAAAGAUUUAUCGCUAUGAGAUUGGCCCGCGCAAGAUUAGCUUGUUGGUAAGGUAAUGGCUUACCAAGGCUCCGAUCUUUAGCUGGUUUGAGAGGAUGAUCAGCCACACUGGGACUGAGACACGGCCCAGACUCCUACGGGAGGCAGCAGUAGGGAAUAUUGGACAAUGGGGGAAACCCUGAUCCAGCAAUGCAGCGUGAGUGACGAAGGCCUUAGGGUUGUAAAACUCUUUCAUCGGUGAGGAUAAUGACAGUAGCCGAAGAAGAAGGACCGGCUAAUUCCGUGCCAGCAGCCGCGGUAAUACGGAAGGUCCUAGCGUUGUUCGGAAUUACUGGGCGUAAAGCGCAUGUAGGCGGAACAAAAAGUUAGAAGUGAAAUCCCUGGGCUCAACCUAGGAAUGGCUUUUAAAACUUUUGUUCUGGAAUUCAGGAGAGGAAAAUGGAAUUUCCAGUGUAGAGGUGAAAUUCGUAGAUAUUGGAAGGAACACCAGUGGCGAAGGCGAUUUUCUGGACUGAUAUUGACGCUGAGAUGCGAAGGCAUGGGUAGCAAACGGGAUUAGAUACCCCGGUAGUCCAUGCAGUAAACGAUGGGUGCUAGUCGUCGGACUUUUGUUCGGUGUCGUAGCUAACGCGUUAAGCACCCCGCCUGGGGGAGUACGGUCGCAAGAUUAAAACUCAAAUGAAUUGACGGGGACCCGCACAAGCAGUGGAAGCAUGUGGUUUAAUUCGACGCAACGCGAAGAACCUUACCAGCGUUGGACAUGGGAAGUGCCGGUUACAGAAUGGUAACCUUCAGUUCGGCUG
This 963-nucleotide ribosomal RNA is filed under the name uncultured bacterium. RNAcentral's name for it is "bacterial SSU rRNA". It matches the Rfam family "Bacterial small subunit ribosomal RNA", at positions 28 to 1025 of the family's 1533-position model. The record is from RNAcentral.